RNAcentral lists this ribosomal RNA (448 nucleotides) under uncultured bacterium. Its description in RNAcentral is "partial 16S ribosomal RNA". It matches the Rfam family "Bacterial small subunit ribosomal RNA", at positions 329 to 794 of the family's 1533-position model. The record is from RNAcentral.
UUCCAGACUCCUACGGGAGGCAGCAGUGGGGGAUAUUGCACAAUGGGGGGAACCCUGAUGCAGCGACGCCGCGUGGGUGAGGGAGCGUUUCGGCGCGUAAAGCCCUAUCGGCAGGGAAGAAGGAGGACGGUACCUGACUAAGAAGCCCCGGCUAACUACGUGCCAGCAGCCGCGGUAAUACGUAGGGGGCAAGCGUUAUCCGGAUUUAUUGGGUUUAAAGGGUGCGUAGGCGGAUUUUUAAGUCAGCGGUAAAAUGUCCGGGCCCAACCCGGGCCGGCCGUUGAAACUGGGGAUCUUGAGUGGGCGAGAAGUAUGCGGAAUGCGUGGUGUAGCGGUGAAAUGCAUAGAUAUCACGCAGAACUCCGAUUGCGAAGGCAGCAUACCGGCGCCCGACUGACGCUGAGGCACGAAAGCGUGGGGAUCGAACAGGAUUAGAUACCCCCGUACA